UGUGAUGUGCUGGAAGAAACCCUGCCUACCAUAAACCUCCCUCCCAGUGUGAAGCUAUAACUUAUUAUGGCCUGCCCCAUCUCCUGGCCCCAGUCAGUAUAGACACAGUCAAGACACAAUUCUGGAAUGGAAGCCACAUAAGUGGAGUGAAGCUGGGUGAUUAAGCCCCUUGUGAACUCAUACAUCACCUCCUACUUCAUGUUGAUAGCAGAAGGAGCACCUCUGUGACUGCAGACACAAGCUGUGUUGUGGACAUGCAGUUUAGUCACGUCUUCAACAAGGAAAGUGUUUACUGAAGUUUAAAUUUUGAGUUUCUAAGUGCGCUGUAUGAUGUUUCAUUUGAUGUGUCUGAAAAAUUAAAUAUAUCUUAUUUCAUUUCGAGCAUUUAAAAAAGAAAUUAUGCAUGUGACAAAAAAAAAACAACUUCUACUUUAAUCUUAACUAACCAAUGGUGAAAAUGCGAACCAUUAAAUGUACGGGUUGCUGACUGAUAGUCAGAAUUACAGACCACCAUUCACAGGAUCCCUGCUUUAUAUAGGAAAUCAGACUAUCGAUCUCACGCUCGAAGAGGAAAGAAAGAGACAUGAAAGGCAAUGAAUACAAAUUGUACCUUCAGGACAUACAAACAAGCUCACCCCACUGAAUCAAGGGUUUUCAACCGGAUUAUUCCUGCCACUAUCAACAUCCAGCCUUUUUUGCUUAAUUGGUGCACAAAUGCAGGUGUAUGAUUCUGACAGCAGAAUGAGUCAGGCAGCCUUGAGUGUAGUCAGUAUGUUUCAUGUUGGGACCACGGGUAUAAGACUUUAAAUCACUCUUAGAGGGAAAUAUACAGGGGGGUGCACGCAAUUGGACAUGUCCUCCAAAGACAUGAAGAUUCUGUACUGCUUAUAUUCAAGAUUGGAUCUGGGAACAAGGCAACCUGUCACCACACUGCGUUUCAUCUGGAUAUGUCAUCAAGGAGACCCCCCCCCCCUUCCCUCGCUUGACCACAACUCACCCUAACUCAGUUUUAAGCAGGUAAUCGUAGGUCAAACAGGAUUAAUAUUCAUUACAAAUGCCUUUGAAAUAAAGCAUGACUGGACUCAUCCAGUAGAGCUCCAGUUGGUUCUCCAGCCUGGACCUCUCAAAGAGCAGGAGGGAUGGAGGCCAUUGGCUGAGCACAUGAUACACAUGGAGGCUAUAAGCAUACGGGUUUGGCCUUUGGGAAGGGCCAUGUCACUGCUGUAGGAUUAUGUCAGUAAAAGGCUGAGAGACGAGAAAGAGGCCCAUGCCCAACUCUGUCAGAAUACCCCUGUCAGAACACCAGGCAAUUUCUCCUUGUCUAUUGAAAGUUUGUACUCCUUGUUGGGCAGACUGUAUAGCCGCAUGUGGUAUUUUGGCAUUUGCACAUAUACAUAAUGUGUAUGUGCAACGCUCCAUAAUGUGUCAUAAAGACUUUUUUUCUUGCUCUGUACUCCACAAUUUAGAUGUGUAAUCAAACAAUUCACAAUCCAAACACAUGCAGGCUAAGUUAAUUGGAGAGUCCAAAUUGCCCCUAGGUAUGAGUGUGUGAGUGAAUGGUGUGUGUCCCAUGCAAUGGACUGGCGAACUGUCUAGGGUGUAUUCCUACCUCUUGCCCAAUGCAUGCUGGGAUAGGCUCUGGCACCACCUGUGAUCCUGGCUAAGAAUAAGCAGGUAAAGAUAAUGGAUGGAUGGAUGGCUGCCACAGAUACUGGCUCACUUGUCGGCAGUGAUGGGCUGGCAUUUGGAAAGUACUACAAACAUACUACAAAUUCAGAAAAUACGCUAAACAGAAACCUGGGCAUGAAAUGAAUUGCUCAAAACAGAAUAUCCAAAAGCAGUGUAAGCUCUAUAAAUAUGCAGACAACACAAUCAUAGCAAAGCAGUAAUGUGUCUGUCUGCUAACAAUAUUACCCUGCAGUUAAACUGAAACCAAUACAAUGACCAAAGCCCUCCCUGACUGAUGGAGAGAGUGAGUGCAAAACAGGUACGGAAUACACAGACAGACACUGAAUCUUCCAAAGCACAGCCACAUGUCCUUAUGCAGAAAGGGUCAGCUGGAGAAUUUAAUCACAAAUGUUCAGUUGGUUGGGGUCAGAGUUCACCUUACAGAGGCGUAGAAACAGUAUUGUGUUUCCCUGAGCAUCGGCGUCCAAUCAGAACACCUCUGCGGCUCUCGACCUUGAAACUUAAAAUGCCAUUAUCAGCAACGGAACCCUGUGUGUGUGUGUGUGCGUGAGCGUGCGUAUCGCUACACCAUUAGCUGGUGCCGAAGUUACGCAAGGGAGGGUGCACUCCUGAUUGGAAAGAGGAUUGGCAUCGCUCCUGUGGCAUCUUGUAAUGAGUCUUACCUUCUUCAAAUCCAUUAAAAAACUAAAGACGCAUCAGAGAGCUUCUUCACUUCAAAUUCAGUGACUGUGUGCUUCUUAGCACAAAGACGCCUUUUUGUGAACAACAGUAUUACAGUCACUCUAAGACAGAUGCACACAUGCAUAUUGAAACACAUUCAAUAUUGAGUUCAGAGGAGUAAUUGCUUCUGAUAGAUGAGCUCUCACAUAGGAAUGAUUUUUAGGAGUAAUUUUUUUCUUAUGUAGUUUUAAAAAACAUUGGCCAAAUUCAGAAUCAAACAUGUUCUGAAGGCAGCUCUAUCCCUGAGGCAGAAGAAAUUCUAUUAGUUAACUCUUGCUUAGUGGGUGGGCCUGUCUUUCAAAUACUGUUGUCAUCUCUGCUACCAUCAGCCCUUUGACCACACUUUGUUAAAUUGCCUGGUGAGUGCUUUAUUUUUCAUUUUUUUGUAAUUUAACCAUUUACCUAAAGAUCUUUAUAGUUAUGAAAUAUUUCUGGAAAAUGAAUACCCUUGAAUGACGACUUAGUUCUUUGUGUGUUGAUGUUUUACUGCUUUGGGAGAGUCCCUGAUUGUGA
This is a long non-coding RNA of Anguilla rostrata (American eel), 2922 nucleotides long. RefSeq lists it as uncharacterized. The transcript has 3 exons. Lineage: Eukaryota; Metazoa; Chordata; Actinopteri; Anguilliformes; Anguillidae. The record is from RefSeq and is a predicted model, not a curated record.